This 738-nucleotide ribosomal RNA is filed under the name Pseudomonas aeruginosa. RNAcentral's name for it is "bacterial SSU rRNA". It matches the Rfam family "Bacterial small subunit ribosomal RNA", at positions 56 to 789 of the family's 1533-position model. The record is from RNAcentral. Lineage: Bacteria; Pseudomonadati; Pseudomonadota; Gammaproteobacteria; Pseudomonadales; Pseudomonadaceae.
UGCAGUCGAGCGGAUGAAGGGAGCUUGCUCCUGGAUUCAGCGGCGGACGGGUGAGUAAUGCCUAGGAAUCUGCCUGGUAGUGGGGGAUAACGUCCGGAAACGGGCGCUAAUACCGCAUACGUCCUGAGGGAGAAAGUGGGGGAUCUUCGGACCUCACGCUAUCAGAUGAGCCUAGGUCGGAUUAGCUAGUUGGUGGGGUAACGGCCUACCAAGGCGACGAUCCGUAACUGGUCUGAGAGGAUGAUCAGUCACACUGGAACUGAGACACGGUCCAGACUCCUACGGGAGGCAGCAGUGGGGAAUAUUGGACAAUGGGCGAAAGCCUGAUCCAGCCAUGCCGCGUGUGUGAAGAAGGUCUUCGGAUUGUAAAGCACUUUAAGUUGGGAGGAAGGGCAGUAAGUUAAUACCUUGCUGUUUUGACGUUACCAACAGAAUAAGCACCGGCUAACUUCGUGCCAGCAGCCGCGGUAAUACGAAGGGUGCAAGCGUUAAUCGGAAUUACUGGGCGUAAAGCGCGCGUAGGUGGUUCAGCAAGUUGGAUGUGAAAUCCCCGGGCUCAACCUGGGAACUGCAUCCAAAACUACUGAGCUAGAGUACGGUAGAGGGUGGUGGAAUUUCCUGUGUAGCGGUGAAAUGCGUAGAUAUAGGAAGGAACACCAGUGGCGAAGGCGACCACCUGGACUGAUACUGACACUGAGGUGCGAAAGCGUGGGGGAGCAAACAGGAUUAGAUACCCUG